CCAGAUUCAAUCAAAAACGAACGGCCCAGAUUAAAAGAAAAUGAACGGCUGUGAUCAAAAGGCAAGGGGUUAUAAAUAGAACCUCCACACCAGACCACAAACCCUAGCCGCCCGCCGCUCGCCGGAGAAGACGAACCAGAGGCCGACCGCCGCCACCCGCCGCCACUCGCCGCCGCACCGGGGAAAUUUCCGACCGCCGAUCGAGGUAAAUUUCAUACCCCCGACUCGUUUUUCCCCACUGAUUCCUCCUAUGGCCAAAUCGAAACCGAAAUCCCGGCCAAACGGCCGGAAUACGCGGCCGAAGCCCAGCGGCGCCGCCGCGCCCCCUCUCGGUUUUUGCCUCCGACGAGGCCCUUCCCGGCCUCCGUUCGAUGCAAUUUUUAUAUCACCGUGAUCACCAUUCUUUUCUCUACAGGUUGACCGGAGCCGAAUCACCAAAACACGAACCUCGCCGGAGAGCCGCUGCACCCGAGAGCGCCGCCGCCGGUAAGCUCCGUUUUUCCGUGAUUUUUUGGCCCCCCGAGGGCCCUAAGGUUCUUUUCUGACAAGGACCAAUGCGAGUGUGGCCGAAUUCGGCCGAAAACGGCCGAAAACAGCCAACCCGAGGCGACUCGCCGCCGCCAGCGGCGGCGCCGUCGCCGGAGCACGGCGGAGCCGCCGUGCCGGAGUUGCGAUUUGGGCCGAAAGAGGCCCUGGGCCUAAUUUGGAAUUUUUUUGGAACACGUGCAGGUACUGUUAGUGUGUUUCAGUUCCCCGAGAAAAAUUCAGGGAAAAUUAGGGACAGCCUGCAGGCGCACUGUGAAUCGUAUUCGGAUCUCGAAAACAAGUAAGGACCCCUCACCUUAUUUCCUAUCACGGUAUUAAAGUUCAAAAUGAUAAAACGGUAUUUCUUGAAUUAAUGCAUGUGUGAAAUUGCUUAAGGUAGCUAAUGGAGCCCGAGUCUAGUGUGAUUGGUGGUUUACUGUUAUUUGGCCUGUUUACAGCUUUAAAUGCAGAAUGAGGUUUGAUGUGUUCAUUUUACAGAUUUGUGUGCAUGUACUACGUUUUUAUUAAUUAUGGGUUGAAUGACUGAAAAAACUGAUAUUGUAUGUUGUCUGUUGGUAUGAAUUACGAUUUGCUUGUUUAAAUGUGAAUUGAUGAUGCUGAUUGAGGAAAAGGAAAAUGAAAGAUUGUAUAGACUGAUAAUUGUAUUAUGGGGGUCAGCCUGACUAGAUAUCCUGGGAGAUGGUGGACGGACCGGGUCCGUAGGGAACCCUACCGGGAUUGUGGUCUCACAUGCCGGACGGGGUAUGGAGAUCUUAUGGUUUUGGCGCCCAUACCGGACGGGGUAUGGGGACGGCCCGUUUCACCCUCAUACCGGACGGGGUAUUGAGGUUUAUGGUUUUGGCGCCCAUACCGGACGGGGUAUGGGGACGGCCCGUUUCACCCUCAUACCGGACGGGGUAUUGAGGUUCAUGGUUUUGGCGCCCAUACCGGACGGGGUAUGGGGACGGCCCUGGAAACUGAUUAUGAAUGUUAAAGGUUAACGGGUAGCGGAACCCCUAUGGACCCCCACGGAUACUAGUAGGCUGGUAAAUGAGAAAAAAGGAGAUGUUGUACAAUGAUUGAAUUACAAGAGGCGUGAUAAGUGUUAUGUUUUACAGCUUAGAUUAUUCAAUGAUUAUGAUGAUGUUAUUGUUUUUCUCAUAUUGUUUUCAUAAAUUCCACCAAGGUAAGUGGAUGGUAAAGGUUUUCAUGUUAACAAACGAGUUUAUGGUAAAUUGUGCUCCAUUGGUCUUUUUGUGUUUUUCUACCCACCUUUACCUCCGUGACGGUGAGAUAUCGUGAUGUUCUUGCUGGGCUAGUGUAGCUCACUCCUUAUUUAACCAUUUCAGAUCAGGAAGACAUGGUUCCCGAGCCCGUUCCGCAGGAGGACGACGAAGGGGAUACCUAGAGACUCUGUAGUCAUACUCAUAGUCUUAUUUUCGAGUUCCUCUCUUAGUUAGUUUAAUCUUUUAUAUUUUAAGUACGUUUUUGGUUUUUCGUGUAAGGGAUGUUAACUAAAAUUUUGAUCUCGCUUCCGCAUUCGAUAUAUUUAAAUACUCAUUUCAUUUUAAUAUUUCCGGGGUCGUUACAGUUGGUAUCAGAGCCGCAUUUCCUCGGACCCAUCCCUUACACAAUAGUGCCUUAGAGUAAUACUCAUUGAUAUAUCGUUACUCAAUCAUUACUUGUGAAGACGAGUACACGGGAAUGAGGAGAGGAAGGCCCCCACUAAACCAAGCGGCCCAAGAUAAUUCGCUUCGGGAGGAUUUAGACAGACUAUUUGAGAUGGUGGAGGCUCUCGUAACUGCCCAGCAAAGGCAAGAGGAGAGAAGGGAGUUACCCGGACCUCCUCCGCUAGCGCAGGUUGAGCCCCCGCUACAGUAGGCUGAUCUCGAGCCACCCCGGCAGGAGCCUGUUCCUCCACAGUACCACCCGGCGCCACAGCCGCGGUACGACCCUGUACCACAGCCACGGUACCAGCGGGCGUCGCCACAGCACAUUCCAGUACCCCCACCACAUCAGCAGGUGCCACCACAGGGUCCCCCAGUUAACCCUCAGCCGGCCCAAGUUCCUCUACCUCGGGACCCCGCUACUUCCUUGAUCGACCCCGGCUUCAUAGAGAGGUACAGAAGACUGAACCCUUCUACUUUUGCAGGGGGAUCCUCUUUUGAAGAGGCCCAAUACUAGCUGGCAGAGACUGAAAGAGCUUUCGAGACCUUGGGAGUAGUUCCUGAGCAGAGGGCUGCCAUUGCCUCCUACAUGCUAGUAGGGGAGACAUUGCUAGGAGAGGUUGUCUACAGGGCAUGUGCCGUGGAGAUAGCAGAUAGGAAUUGAGGGUAGACCUGAUAGGGUUAGACACAUGGGAUUUUGAUGUAAUCCUAGGAAUGGAUUGGCUAGCGGUGUAUCACACCACUAUAGAUUGCUUUAACAAAAAGAUUGUAUUUAAUCCUCCCAACGAGGAGCCAUUUACAAGUUAAUAAAAUUAUUCGGUACUGAUUUUCCCUAAUGACAAAUUCUUUUCUUCUUAAUUCCCAGUGCCUUAAUAUUGUAUUUUCCCUAACUAGGUAAACCCAAGAAAGAAGUUUGUAUCCAAGAGAUUCCAGUAGUCCGAGACUUUCUAGACGUAUUUCCGGAUGAACUGCCCGGUCUACCAGGGGACAGAGAGGUCGAGUUCACCAUAGACUUACAGCCAGGAACCCAGCCCAUCUCGGUAGCUCCUUACCAAAUGAGCCGCAUCGAGAUGGAAGAGCUAAGGAAACAAAUCACUGAGCUACAAAACAGUGGCUUCAUUAGACACAGCAUUUCCCCAUGGGGUGCCGGGGUUACUUUUGCAAAAAAAGGGGAUGGAACGUUGAGACUGUGUAUUGAUUAUAGAAGGAUAAACAAGGUAACAAUUAAAAAACAAGUACCCUCUUCCCCGGAUUGAUGACCUUUUCGAUCAGUUGCAGGGUGCACAGGUCUUUUCUAAAAUAGAUCUACGAUCAGGUUACCAUCAGGUAAAAGUGAGAGCAGAAGACAUCCCCAAGACGGCAUUCCGAACCAGGUACGGACACUAUGAGUUCCUGGUUAUGCCGUUUGGGCUAACCAACGCCCCGGCCAUCUUUUUGGAUCUAAUGAACAGAAUCUUCAGAGAGUUUUUGGAUAAAUUUGUCAUCGUGUUCAUCGAUGAUAUCUUAGUCUACUCAAAAAGUAGAGAAGAACAUGCUCAUCAUCUUGCCCAAGUCCUCCAGGUACUCAGGGAAAAGAAGUUGUAUGCAAAGUUGAGCAAGUGUGGAUUUUGGCUCGAGCAAACCGCCUUCCUAGGACAUGUUAUAUCGAAGGAAGGGGUGUCGGUGAACCCCGAAAAGGUUGAAGCGGUACUUGGUUGGGAAAGGCUGACAACAGUUAAGGAAAAUCGCAGUUUCCUAGGGAUGGUGGGUUAUUACCGCCGGUUUGUCGAAGGGUUCUCCAGUCUAGCGGCCCCUCUAACCCGACUCACAAAGAAGAAUGCAAAGUUUGAUUGGAAUGAGAACUGCGAAAGGAGUUUUUCAGAAUUGAAGAAGCGACUGACUACUGCACCCGUGCUGGCUCUACCGAGUGGAUCAGGAGGGUAUACAGUUUAUAGUGAUGCCUCCUAUCUGGGCCUGGGUUGUGUCCUGAUGCAGCAUGGAAAGGUUAUAGCAUAUGGGUCUAGACAGCUAAAGAAUCAUGAGAAGAACUAUCCUACCCAUGACUUGGAGCUUGCCGCAAUCAUACACGCCUUGAAAAUCUGGCGCCAUUAUUUGUAUGGAGAGACCUUUCAGAUCUACACCGAUCAUAAGAGUUUGAAGCACAUCUUCACUCAGAAGGAUCUCAACAUGCGUCAGAGAAGGUGGAUGGAACUCCUCAAGGACUAUGAUUGUGACAUCCUAUACCAUCCAGGUAAGGGCAACGUAGUAGCCGAUGCCCUCAGUAGGAAGAGUGCAGGCACCCUAGCCCAUCUGAUGGUUUCGGAAUGCAGGUCCAUUGGGGCUACGCAGCAGGUUCGACUGCAAGAUCUGAAGAGGGCCACAUGUUUGAGCCACCUAGCAGUCCAACCCGAGUUAAUCCAAAGAAUAAAGGAAGCCCAGUCAGUCGACCCCGCCCUAGUAAACCGCAAGAAGGAUGCAGAACAAGGAGUAAACUCAGAAUUUCAGAUCUCUGCCGACGGAUUGAUUCGUUUCAAGGACAGAAUGUGUGUCCCAGACGACAAUGAAUUAAAAAGAGACAUCAUGACAGAGUCCCAUAGUUCAAGGUUCGCCAUGCAUCCAGGAAGUACAAAAAUGUACCAAACUAUGCGACCCCGAUUCUGGUGGAAUGGGAUGAAGAGAGAUAUAGCCGACUUUGUAUCUAAGUGCUUGGUAUGUCAGCAGGUCAAGGCAGAACAUCAACGCCCAGGGGGGUUGCUUCAGCCUUUACCGAUUCCAGAAUGGAAGUGGGAACACAUCACUAUGGACUUCGUAUCGGGACUACCCAAGGCACGAUCGGGACACGAUGCCAUAUGGGUAAUUGUUGAUCGACUCACUAAGACUUCCCACUUCCUGGCCAUCAGAAUGACUGAUUCGUUGGACAAGUUGGCAAGAAUGUAUGUCCGGGAAAUAGUCAGACUGCAUGGGGUCCCAGUAACAGUGGUGUCCGACAGGGAUCCCAGAUUCACUUCUCGGUUCUGGAAUAGUUUCCAGCAAGCUAUGGGAACAAAGCUGUCCCUUAGUACUGCCUUCCACCCCCAAACCGAUGGACAAUCAGAGAGGACAAUCCGUACGCUGGAGGAUAUGCUCCGAGCUUGUGUCCUUGACUCCGGAGGCCAUUGGGACGACCACCUACCCCUGAUAGAGUUUGCCUACAACAACAGUUACCAAGCAAAAUCGGCAUGGCCCCAUACGAGGCGCUAUACGGGCGUCCGUGCAGGUCACCGAUUUGUUGGGAGGAAGUGGGCGAUAGAAGAUUGUUUGGCCCGGAUUUGGUGGAAGAAACCACGUCCAAGAUAGUUAAGAUCAAGAAGAACAUCCAGACAGCUCAGAGUAGGCAAAAGAGCUAUGCUGAUACCCGGAGGAGAGACCUGGCCUUUGAGAAAGGUGACCGUGUGUUUCUUAAAGUCACCCCCUUCAAGGGAAUUAGUAGGUUCGGCAGAAGGGGAAAAUUAAACCCCAGAUACAUUGGACCCUUUGAAAUCUUAGACAAGAUUGGUACCACUGCCUACAGACUUGCACUGCCCCCUGAGCUCUCCCGGGUUCACAAUGUGUUUCAUGUAUCUAUGCUGCGCAAGUACAAUCCGGACCCUUCUCAUGUCGUGGCUCAUGAACCGCUUUCACUCCGAGAGGACUUGUCUUAUGAAGAAGUACCGGUCAGUAUCACAGACCGAGAAAGCAGAAUACUCCGUAACCGGGAAAUAUCAUUUGUAAAAGUCUUGUGGCAGAACCACACGCCUAGGGAGGCGACUUGGGAGCUGGAAUCAGAAUUUAGGGCCCAAUAUCCUCAUCUGUUUGAUCAAGAGUAAUGAGGCAAAUUUGGGGACCAAAUUUCUUUAUGGGGGGGAGAGUUGUAGCACCCGGAAAGGAGGAGGGGAAGAAAAAAAAAAAAAAAAAAAAAAAAAAAAAAAAAAAAAAAAAAAAAGGGGGGGGGCCACGUCAGCAGCCGCGUCAGCAGCCACGUCAGCAGUCCCGGCCAACCAGUGCCUGCCACGUGGCAAGAUCGCGUCACUCCGAAAGGAGCCACGUUGGCGAUCCGCGUGGGUGCGAUCCGACGGCCCAGAUCAAUCACGCGAUCGGACGGCCCAGAUUCAAUCGCACGGACGGCCCAGAUUCAAUCAAAAACGAACGGCCCAGAUUAAAACAAAAUGAACGGCUGUGAUCAAAAGGCAAGGGGUUAUAAAUAGAACCCCCACACCAGACCACAAACCCUAGCCGCCAGCCGCUCGCCGGAGAAGACGAACCAGAGGCCGACCGCCGCCACCCGCCGCCACUCGCCGCCGCACCGGGGAAAUUUCCGACCGCCGAUCGAGGUAAAUUUCAUACCCCCGACUCGUUUUUCCGCACUGAUUCCUCCUAUGGCCAAAUCGAAACCGAAAUCCCGGCCAAACGGCCGGAAUACGCGGCCGAAGCCCAGCGGCGCCGCCGCGCCCCCUCUCGGUUUUUGCCUCCGACGAGGCCCUUCCCGGCCUCCGUUCGAUGCAAUUUUUAUAUCACCGUGAUCACCAUUCUUUUCUCUACAGGUUGACCGGAGCCGAAUCACCAAAACACGAACCUCGCCGGAGAGCCGCUGCACCCGAGAGCGCCGCCGCCGGUAAGCUCCGUUUUUUCCGUGAUUUUUGGCCCCCCGAGGGCCCU
Molecule: long non-coding RNA, 6845 nt
Filed under: Carica papaya (papaya)
Lineage: Eukaryota; Viridiplantae; Streptophyta; Magnoliopsida; Brassicales; Caricaceae
Description: long non-coding RNA (CPAP_LNC005216)
Source: RNAcentral